Xenia sp. Carnegie-2017 is the source of this 7589-nucleotide long non-coding RNA. RefSeq lists it as uncharacterized. NCBI's taxonomy places the organism in Eukaryota, Metazoa, Cnidaria, Anthozoa, Malacalcyonacea, Xeniidae. The record is from RefSeq and is a predicted model, not a curated record. The transcript has 6 exons.
AUCUCUCCUCAUCAUUAUUGUAGGUUGUGGACUUGUGGCUUGGUUAGUUGUCCUCAAUCUUGUUCGAGUAAAAUCGGGAAAACACAACAGUAUAGGUUACAAAAAAUGGUACCGUGUCAAAGACUUUCAAUGAAAAACAAGUCCACAUCAUUGUGAGGAGCGAUGGGCUCCUUUUGAAAGCAACAGAUGAGUACUUAUUACAUUUCAAGCCGCUAAGUUCUUUCAAAACGAAGAAACAAGCAAACAUGUUAAUUAUGAAGAGUCGCGAAGACAAAAUGGAAUAAAUAAUUGGUGAGUGAAAAAAUGGUUGAUAUCAUCGUCAGAGAACGAUAGCAGCUUUCCAAAAUGAAAUGGCAGAUCUUUCCGGGGUUUCUUCAGAUGUCAUUGUUUAGAGAUGUUUGGUACCCCUGGCUAUGUUAUUAAUCGUCGUUACGUGGAGUGUCAUUGCCAUGCAGCACAAGAAUCUAUCUACGUCAUAUUUUCCUAAAAUUGUUUUGUUCUCAAGACCUAUUUGAGAUUUGAUGAUGAAUAAUUGCAUUUGUCUUCAUGCAUCAAUCGACAAAACUGGUUGUAUGCCAUCGGAACUGGUUGGAUGCGGGCGGAAGAAGUAACAACUGGAAAACAAGCAAUUUAACUGGUGUUAAAAGAUCUUUAGCAUUUUGUAUGGAUUUGAGUUAAUCCCCGUACAUAUUCAUGCAAGUAUCUGAUCCUGCUCAAUAGUCGAUUCCAUUAGCUACGUACGUCGAAGUUGCGCGGAACAACAAACAUAGAAACAACUAUUUACUGAUGUUUUAUCAUACGAUUUUUAGUUAAUGGGAAUAACUCAAACCACUUUAUUGUGGUUGGCUUAUUUCUUUAAAUGAUGAAUAUGAUAGAACGGCAAGUAAUAUCAGUUGUGUGAGAAGCAUAAAGAAAAUAAUGGACUGCGAUUUAUUGAGUUUGAUAGCUCAGUUGAAGAAGAAACGUUUGUUGGGAAAUAGAGGACUGAGCACUUGUUAUCAUUUUGAUUAUCUACCUUCAUCACCAUUGACAGUUCUUGGUCUGCGUUUGAAGCCUAAUUUAAUAUAAGAUCACAUGCAACUGUUACGAUGGUUUCGUCGCCAGUACUGUUGAAAAAAAUAUAUGCAACUGUCGUUGUAUUUAACGUGCAAGAAGUGAAAAGUUGAGUAACCUGUGAUGAAUACAAGAAGGCAUAUAUUGAGCUAUGAAUGUGAAAGUGGGAAUGGGGAAUAUUUCAAAACGUAUCUUGGUCGUUGUAGAACUUCUCGCUGGCUGACAGGGAAGGUAGGAUUCGAAGUUAGAUGCACCUGUUAUAUAUUUUCCCUUUCUAAGGUUUUGACAAUGCGGGUCAAUUUAUUCUUUCGCCAUUUGUUGUUAUCGUCGUGUAUUUAGUAUUGUAAAUACACAACAAAGAUUGCCAAAGGUAGCGAGAAUUAACUUUGCUGUUUUUCUGGUUUAUGGGUGAUUGUUCGUAGCUAAGUAGCUAUAAUUGUUAAAACAUGGUUUGACCAUGUUCUGAUUUGAAAUUUCGAUGAAGUAUUUGUAUUUCAAACAUUUCCAAGCUAGAUUCUAAGAAACAAAGUUUGUUUUUUGUGUGCAAUAUUUAUGCAUGCUUAUUAAAUUAAAAAUCACUCCAACAAAUGGUUGGUGAUCGGCUCUUUUUUGAGUUUCAAUCAAAUGUUCAUCGUCAGAAUCGUUCACUGCAUAAGGGAAUAGACCGAAAUUGAAUUUGACAAAAAAAAAAAUACGUUUAUAACCGUAGAGCUCUAACGUCGGUGUCUCAUUUCACGAUCCAAGCUGUAGAUUAAAAUAAUGAAAGCAAAGCUUGCGGACCAACUGAAAGUGCUGAAGUGAUAAGACUAUUUUAACAUGUCUGCUUAUAAACUGCUUAUCUGUCAAAGAUGACGAUGUGCGCUCCGAUUAGCGAAACUCGUUCCUCAACACUUUAAUUUGAGUUUUUGUUUCUUUAUCUUCCUUUGUAUUGGUAAACGUUGGUAUUUUUCUUAGAAUUGCAAUUAAUAUUUCAAACUUUAUUUUUGAAUCGUAUACAAACAAAUCCAGCUUCUAGAGCUAAAACUUGUCAUUUACAUCAACAUUUAUUAAUUGUUUUUGAUGAGACAUAUUAGAAAACCGUGAUUCGUCAUUAGCCAUAAAACACUUUUGUCAUUUUUCCCGUCAUAUCUUAGCGUAACCUCGAGCAAAGUGGGACACUUUCAUUCAUUACAAUGUAGCCGCACAACAAAAAACAUUGUUAAGACCAAAUUUGGCCGAAACAAUCCUUGUCAUCUGACAAUUAUUUGGUAGUAAUUUUAAAAACAUAGUCCAUCUUAAGGUCAUGCUUUGAUCAUUCAAGUGUGUGAUCCUUAGGUGUCUCACUUUGUUACCAAUUGGAAAUUAAACGAGACUUACCUUAAAUCGAAGUUUAAAUAAAAUUCUAUUAGUCAUUAGCGAGGAGUGCAGGAACUGUAGGAGAUAGAGUACUGCACAUGAAUUGACCAGUAUUUAGAGCACGAGUAUUGGUACAAUGGUUAGAGUGGAGGAGAGGGGAUCUGAAAAAAUAUGGAUGGGCCUACGCUUGUAUGACAGCUCUAAAAUUUACAUGCACUAAUAAGGUAACGGCAUCAAAGAGCGUAGUCGUAAUGGCGCGAAAGUCCGGCAAGACUUUGUCUCCCAGCAUUUUAAUUGGUCAUUGACAGUAACUGAGAGAGAACUUGUCACACACACACUAGAAUCUUGUAGAACUGCGGUGUGCAAAUCUCGCUGACGAUGGAAAUUUUUAAGGCUUGACCAUAUAAGCUCAUUGAGUUUGGGCACAGUAAGUUUGUCGCAAUUUUGCGGUGGCUUUUCAAUUAUUUUUUUGCGCUCCUCAAGCCCAAUAUUGGAAGGAAAUUUUUCAUUUGUAAUCUAAGCUACUUUUACAUUCAAAUCUGAGCAUCUUUACUGUCAAUGUUGUUCAUCAAACAUGACGCCAUCGGUACACAGUUUUCUGAAUGAAUGAAAUAAGAACCACUAUAUAAAAUUGCUGCUUUCGUAUGACAGUUUAUACCUCAAACAUAUAUUUAAACUUUAUAUAAUAGCACACAGUAAGGUAUAAACGCAGCCAUGAAUUACAAACUUACAUCAAAAAUUAACGAAAAGCAAUAUUUACACGUGCGUCCGAUACACUACAUGAAUGAAGAGUGAAAAUCAAUGACAUGAAACGCAACCUGAGGUUAAAAUAUCUUUAACGGCAUAGUAACCUACAAAUUUCGCAUUUGAAUUUUCCCCGUGACUCUGUUAAUGGGGACAGAUGAACUGUGUGACCACAUUUAACCGUCGUAUAAAAAUCACGACAGCGAUUACAUUUUUCUGAAAAUGAAGAGAUAGAUAUUGUUGAAGAUAAAAAACAUUCGCUAAUUUGAAUUGAACAUAAGUUUCGGCACCGGCAAGCAGUUAAGGUGCAGGUAUGGUCCCGGAAGUAAACGGAGCUCUUACCCGUGUCAAUUAGUUUCAAGUCCUAGGAAUUAAACAGGGCGCGCGCGUGUAAACCGGAAACACGUAAAAUGAACGAAGGUUGCUACUGGAUGACAUGAGUAGUUAAGGUGCAGGUAUGGUCCCGGAAGUAAACGGAGCUCUUACCCGUGUCAAUUAGUUUCCAGUCCUAGGAAGUAAACAGGGCGCGCGCGUGUAAACCGGAAACGAUAUAAAAUGAACGAAGGUUGCUAUUGGAUGACAUGAUUAAUUGAAACACGAUAAAACUUAAUUAAAUUUGUCAAUUGUUUUCUAUUCUUAAAGCAAUAUUAGAUCCGUUUUCUUGUUUCCUUUGCAAAUAUAAAAAAGGAGAACACGUUACAAUUUUAUUGAGUUAAAGUUAUUUGGUAAUUUUUGUCUUACUAAAACGAAAAUGGCUUUAAAAGUAGACAUUGAGCAAGCAAAGAAAGUGAAGGAAUCGUCCUUCGAAUUUGAAGAUGAGAGCCAUGUUUUAUAUGAACGCCAAAGCAAUAUACAGAAUAAAUUGUUGAAGUGCUAUGCUACUGAAAUUGGUUUUAAAAUAUAUGAACUUGUGGCAAAAGACUGUGACGGUUGUCGCGUUCAACACCCCUCACAAAAGCGCCAUGAAUGCUUGAUGAUGCCUAAUGAUGAAAGGGUAGCGAUUUACUUUGAAGAUGCAGUAUCAAAAAUUGAUGAGGAAAAAGUCAUGAAAUCCUUCUUUGAUAGUUUACAAGACAUGACUCCGAUAGUAAAUGGGCUAGAACUUAUCAAGUACACUUGCAAUGAUUGGAGAAAAAUAUUUUUGACAGAAAAAAAGAACAAAUUAGAACAUGAGACGUUGAUAUUCUUAAAUAAAUUUUAUUGAAAUAAAACAUUUUUAUUUUAUUGGAAAAAACUAGCAACGAUCACUCUGAAAUAAAAAGAAAUCAAUCUUACUGACUGUUCUACUGUAUCAAUUUUCAAAAGAUAAAGAAUUAUAAAAAUACAUACUCAAAAAAAUCUUCCAGAAAUCUGUCGACUUCUUCGUCAAAACAUCUAGAGUAUAACGGAAGGGACAUUACAUAAAAAAAACACGACUACAACAUUCAGCAAGCAUAUUAAUUAUUUGACUUACAAGCAUUGGGACAUUGAAAUGGCAAGCACUCCACAAGCCUCUCCUCUACUAAAGAUAAAUGAAUUUUAUGCCCGCAGCUCGGUGGACAGAUCACCCAUAGUUUGCAGUGUUCACAUUGGCCUAAAACAAUGAACAAAAUCACAACUUAAAUUUUCUAAAGUCAAAUCUAACAUUGAAAUUGUAUUCCAAUUCAACUUACUCAAAAUGGGUCGAAUUGUUUGAGAUGUAGCCAUUCCUCUAUCUGUUGUUUCUCUUUGCUCUCUUUGCCUUCGCCGUUGACUGAUGAUUUUUGCCUAAGACUUUGGCGUGAGUCCUUUUACAUGCACAUUAUUGACAUAGGCUCUUUUGUUAGCAGUAAUUUUCCAAUGGAUCGAUUAUUUCCUUGGCAAGCGUGCGUUUCAGAUUGAAUGAAGGCAUUAAAGUAUUAAAACAGUAAAUUAACUCGUAUGUAUGCAGGCCUGAUGUAUUUCAAACACCUCCAAUUAAGAUUGUGAAAUAACGUGCAAAGUCAUUGUUAGUUUUGGUUUGGAAAAAAUAUUAUGUAUCAUAACUGUCUUAAAAAUUAUAACUAUGAGUCUUAACAAUUAUUAUCUCUGCAAUUUUUAACUUGUCAUUAUACUAUGAAAACAAGCAAUAAGAAAUUUUUCAUCAUUCGUGUUGAGAAAGAAUUUUGAUGGAAAUAUGAUUAAAAGAAGCCUUAAUCAAACAAUUAAAAAAAAUGUAGACAAAACUUAAUCCUUGAGUUAAUUAUUACCGGCUAGCACAGCUAGAGUCCACAUAUUUAUGAAACUGUAGGAUUACUAUUUUGGUAUUUUCAUGGGAAAAAAUUUUGACGGAAAUAUGAUUAAAAGAAGCCUUAGUCAAACAAUUAAAAAAAAAUGUAGACAAAACUUAAUCCUUGAGGUAAUUAUAAUCGUUUUGUAUGGAUCUGAGGACAAAACAGAGAAAAAUACCUCGUUUUUUGAAAAAUACCCGGCUACGUGUGGACAAAAUCUUAAACACAGCCAGAACCUGCGCAUUGCAAAGUUAAAUAAUUCCUAUUUUCGUAUCGUUAAUAAGGAGAAAGGAUUUUGAUGGAAAUAUGAUUAAAAGAAGCCUUAAUCAAACAAUUAAAAAAAAUGUAGACAAAACUUAAUCCUUGAGUUAAUUAUUACCGGCUAGCACAGCUAGAGUCCACAUAUUUAUGAAACUGUAGGAUUACUAUUUUGGUAUUUUCAUGGGAAAAAAAAUUUUGACGGAAAUAUGAUUAAAAGAAGCCUUAAUCAAAUAAUUGAAAAAAAGCCGACAAAAAAAUGGAGUCAUUGGGACAUUAUAAAAACUCAAGCACUGCAGAUCAUAUGCAUUAAUUCGACAAACGUUUUGCAGCCAGAGAUAGAAAAAAAGAACCAAGGAAGAAAAUGGUUUCUAUUGAGAAGCACAGAUGCUUUUGCAAAAACGGCGGUCUGAAACGUUUUACUUCCAACGAGGGCCGCGUCUUUCUAAAGUACGCCAAAGAAAAAUGUAAUUUAUUCACGCCCGAAGAAAAGUACUUGCAGCUUAUAGACGUGUACGAUAAGAAUGUACUGAAGGAAUUCAAGCCGAACCGUUUUCCACUCUGCGAGUGCCAAGUGUUUGCAUGUCUGUGGGUAUCGAACUCGGCCAACAAUCCUGGCCGACCCUACUUUCGUUGCAAGUAUAUGGCAAGUGAAAAGAAAUGUUCACUCUUUCAUUGGGCUGACGAAUCUAUGAAAGGCAUUGGAAAAACUAAAAAACCAUCAGCGCCCAAAAGAGAGUCGAGCACUAAGGUACCAAAAGCUGAAGAAUCAAAGCGCUCCAAAAUAAUUGUGGAGAAUUCAUCCGAUGAUGAAGAAAACUGAUGUCCAAAGGCAUAAUUUACAAACUUUAAAACUUUAAAUUCCAUAUAAUCUUGAUGUGUUUACAAUAUAAUCUAUGUAUGAAUUUAAAUUUCAAAACUAUUUUUUUUGCUUAUUACAUCAUGACAUGCGCAAUGAUGAUCUCUGUAGGGGGUAAAGUACUAUAAGAAAAGGUACAAGAUAGCCUUUUAUAUUGCGAUACAGAUAGUUGUAUUUAUGUAAAUAAACCGGGGGUUCCAAGGCCACUCUUAGGGGAUUACCUGGGUAAUUUAACAAACGAAAUCACUCAAGAACAUGGGGUAGGUAGUUACAUUACAAGAUUUGCAUGUGGGGGUCCAAAAAAUUACGCGUACGUUGUAAAUAAUGGGAAAAAAACAUUGUAAGAUACGAGGUUUUACUUUGAAUUUUAAAAAUAGCCAAAUUCUUAAUUUUGAUUCUUUGUAUGAAAUGAUAUUAACUAUGUACGUUCAGAUGACGAAAAUAAGAAAAAUAAAAUAGAUGUUGCAAAUAACAGUAAAAUAACACGAGAAAAACGGACCCGUCGGCUUGUCAACAAGAAAGAAGUAAAGCAAUAUCAGAUCGUCUACGACAAAAGAAUAAUUGUCAACUCUGGUGAAGACACAAUACCUUACGGAUAUUAUUGGUCACCAGCGUCUAACUCUGCUAGUCCGUCUGUAAAGCCCAUUAUACGUCUUCCAGAUUCAAUGCUUUAUACAAUGGUACAGCCCACGGCACUAGGGUGUAGAGUAAAUCAUAGCUGUGUUGAUGACAAAGCUAACGUUGGGACAUGUAGUGAUGAAGAAAUGGAAGACGUUUUAGUGUAUAAGUAUAUUGUUAAGGAUGGUGAUGACGGUGACAUGAUUUUUGAGAAUGAAGAAAACGCAAACGAUAUUAGUUUAUUGGAAACUGACGACGAGGAAGAUAUGGAUUUUGAAUCAGAGAACGAAUAUGAUAAAACAUUUAUAAAUGACAUUGAAAUGUCUGAAGAUGAAAAUAACGUUUCUUUUUAUCGAAGGUUUAAUAGUAAUUAUUAAUUUAACGCUGAUUGACACCGUAUUAAUAUUUUCAAAGAACAUUUAAAAAGUAGUUAAUCCAUGUCCAUCAUAUUUUCAAUGUUCAAUUUAUAAUAAUGAUGAAUAUUUACACCCUCA